RNAcentral lists this long non-coding RNA (519 nucleotides) under Scophthalmus maximus (turbot). RNAcentral's name for it is "lncRNA (ENSSMAG00000027959.1)". Lineage: Eukaryota; Metazoa; Chordata; Actinopteri; Pleuronectiformes; Scophthalmidae. The record is from RNAcentral.
UCCCCCCCCUCCCCACUCCCUCUCCCUUGGAUGGCAGGUCAGGCAGUGAGCUGUGCGGGCUCAGAGGAGCCAGUGUCUGUUCCGGAGACAAUCCAGGAGUUGGCAUUGCACUUGAUGGCAGAGCUUUGGGAAGGGAGUGGAGGAAGAGUCCUACUGGAACCACCGGAACGCCGCUCCUGUAGGAAGCAUCACCUUCUUGGAGAAACGGAAGAUGAGAGGAGAGGAGAGGAGGAGUGGCACACAUGCAUGCAGCUGCAGGGCUCAGCAGCGGCCUGCCAGUCAGGAGAUAGAGAGCCACUCGGGUCCCCCGAGCUGCAGCGCGGCUGGCGUCCUCUGCAACUCGAUUCUGCAGCAUGGAUUCUUCCGUCAGCAGGCUCUGCCUGGAGCGAGGCAGGAGGAGCUCGGCAAACAUUUAUGCACCCACACACACUCUCGCACCAAACCAAUAUGUAUUCAAGUACAGCCACACACCUCCACACACAGUGGCACGUUAACCGACACUCACAGUACACCCCCUGA